AUGUCCGUGUUUGAUCUUAAUUUGGUGAAGGAGAUUUGUGGUGCUUCUUUCUCGGGAUUUGCCUAUUCCCCAUCUGAUGGAGCAAGUGGAGGGUUGCUAAUAGCCUGGGCAGAUGACGUUGUGGUUUCCUCUAUCCAAUGUUCCAAAAUUUUCAACUCUGCUAUAUGUGAAAGCAGAGCAAACGGGUUAGUUUGGCAGAUGGUUAACGUCUAUGGCCCCCAAUUUUUCUCUGACAAGAUGGACUUUCUUGCUGACCUGCAGCAAAUUGGAUUAACUGCCCUGGCCCGCUCUUGUUCUUGGCGAUUUCAAUAUGAUUGCUGCAGCUAA
RNAcentral lists this ribosomal RNA (327 nucleotides) under Triticum aestivum (bread wheat). RNAcentral describes it as "partial small subunit ribosomal RNA". The record is from RNAcentral. Lineage: Eukaryota; Viridiplantae; Streptophyta; Magnoliopsida; Poales; Poaceae.